GAUGAACGCUGGCGGCGUGCCUAAUACAUGCAAGUCGAGCGUACGGACGAGAAGCUUGCUUCUCUGAUGUUAGCGGCGGACGGGUGAGUAACACGUGGAUAACCUACCUAUAAGACUGGGAUAACUUCGGGAAACCGGAGCUAAUACCGGAUGAUAUUUUGAACCGCAUGGUUCAAAAGUGAAAGACGGCCUUGCUGUCACUUAUAGAUGGAUCCGCGCUGCAUUAGCUAGUUGGUAAGGUAACGGCUUACCAAGGCAACGAUGCAUAGCCGACCUGAGAGGGUGAUCGGCCACACUGGAACUGAGACACGGUCCAGACUCCUACGGGAGGCAGCAGUAGGGAAUCUUCCGCAAUGGGCGAAAGCCUGACGGAGCAACGCCGCGUGAGUGAUGAAGGUCUUCGGAUCGUAAAACUCUGUUAUUAGGGAAGAACAUAUGUGUAAGUAACUGUGCACAUCUUGACGGUACCUAAUCAGAAAGCCACGGCUAACUACGUG
Molecule: ribosomal RNA, 497 nt
Filed under: uncultured bacterium
Lineage: Bacteria
Description: partial 16S ribosomal RNA
Rfam family: Bacterial small subunit ribosomal RNA
Source: RNAcentral